RNAcentral lists this ribosomal RNA (505 nucleotides) under uncultured bacterium. RNAcentral describes it as "bacterial SSU rRNA". It matches the Rfam family "Bacterial small subunit ribosomal RNA", at positions 28 to 526 of the family's 1533-position model. The record is from RNAcentral.
GAUGAACGCUAGCGGCAGGCUUAAUACAUGCAAGUCGAGGGGCAGCGCGGGGUAGCAAUACUCUGGCGGCGACCGGCAAACGGGUGCGGAACACGUACAGAACCUUCCUUCAAGCGGGGAAUAGCCCAGAGAAAUUUGGAUUAAUACCCCAUAGUAUUACGAAGUGGCAUCACUUUGUACUUAAAGAUUUAUCACUUGAAGAUGGCUGUGCGGCUGAUUAGGUAGUUGGCGGGGUAACGGCCCACCAAGCCUGCGAUCAGUAACUGGUGUGAGAGCGCGACCAGUCACACGGGCACUGAGACACGGGCCCGACUCCUAGGGGAGGCAGCAGUAAGGAAUAUUGGUCAAUGGGCGAAAGUCUGAACCAGCCAUGCCGCGUGAAGGAUGAAGGUCCUCUGGAUUGUAAACUUCUUUUAUAUGGGACGAAAAAAGGGUUUUCUAACUCGUCUGACGGUACCAUAUGAAUAAGCACCGGCUAACUCCGUGCCAGCAGCCGCGGUAAAAC